UACGUAGGGUGCGAGCGUUGUCCGGAAUCACUGGGCGUAAAGAGCUCGUAGGUGGUUUGUCGCGUUGUUCGUGAAAACCGGGGGCUUAACCCUCGGCGUGCGGGCGAUACGGGCAGACUUGAGUACUACAGGGGAGACUGGAAUUCCUGGUGUAGCGGUGAAAUGCGCAGAUAUCAGGAGGAACACCGGUGGCGAAGGCGGCUAUCUGGACGACAACUGACGCUGAGGCGCGAAAGCGCGGGGAUCAAACAGG
Molecule: ribosomal RNA, 253 nt
Filed under: uncultured bacterium
Lineage: Bacteria
Description: partial 16S ribosomal RNA
Rfam family: Bacterial small subunit ribosomal RNA
Source: RNAcentral